Molecule: ribosomal RNA, 253 nt
Filed under: uncultured bacterium
Lineage: Bacteria
Description: partial 16S ribosomal RNA
Rfam family: Bacterial small subunit ribosomal RNA
Source: RNAcentral
UACGUAGGGUGCAAGCGUUGUCCGGAAUUAUUGGGCGUAAAGAGCUCGUAGGCGGUUUGUCGCGUCGAAUGUGAAAACCCGGGGCUCAACCCCGGGCCUGCAUUCGAUACGGGCAGACUAGAGUUCGGUAGGGGAGUCUGGAAUUCCUGGUGUAGCGGUGAAAUGCGCAGAUAUCAGGAGGAACACCGGUGGCGAAGGCGGGACUCUGGGCCGAUACUGACGCUGAGGAGCGAAAGCGUGAGGAGCAAACAGG